Molecule: transfer RNA, 82 nt
Filed under: Rhodobiaceae bacterium
Lineage: Bacteria; Pseudomonadati; Pseudomonadota; Alphaproteobacteria; Hyphomicrobiales; Rhodobiaceae
Description: tRNA-Val
Rfam family: tRNA
About the family: Transfer RNA (tRNA) molecules are approximately 80 nucleotides in length. Their secondary structure includes four short double-helical elements and three loops (D, anti-codon, and T loops).
Source: RNAcentral
GGGCGGUUAGCUCAGCGGGAGAGCACUACGUUGACAUCGUAGGGGUCACUGGUUCAAUCCCANNUCCCAGUACCGCCCACCA